This 467-nucleotide ribosomal RNA is filed under the name uncultured bacterium. RNAcentral describes it as "partial 16S ribosomal RNA". It matches the Rfam family "Bacterial small subunit ribosomal RNA", at positions 28 to 507 of the family's 1533-position model. The record is from RNAcentral.
GACGAACGCUGGCGGCGUGCUUAACACAUGCAAGUCGAACGAUGACGCCCGAGCUUGCUCGUUCUGAUUAGUGGCGAACGGGUGAGUAACACGUGAGCAACCUGCCCUUCACUCUGGGAUAACCUCGGGAAAUCGGGGCUAAUACCGGAUAUGAGCUCCUGUCGCAUGGCGGGCGUUGGAAAGUCUUUCGGUGCAGGAUGGGCUCGCGGCCUAUCGGUUUGUUUGUUUGGUAGUGGCUCACCAAGGCGAUGACGGGUAGCCGGCCUGAGAGGGCGACCGGCCACACUGGGACUGAGACACGGCCCAGACUCCUACGGGAGGCAGCAGUGGGGAAUAUUGCACAAUGGGCGAAAGUCUGAUGCAGCGACGCCGCGGUAGGGAUGACGGCCUUCGGGUUGUAAACCUCUGUCAGCAGGGAAGAAGCGAAAGUGACGGUACCUGCAGAAGAAGCGCCGGCUAACUACGUG